UACGGAGGGUGCGAGCGUUGUCCGGAAUCACUGGGCGUAAAGGGCGCGUAGGCGGCCUGAUAAGUAGGGGGUGAAAUCCUGCGGCUUAACCGCAGGGCUGCCUUCUAAACUGUCAGGCUUGAGCACAGUAGAGGCAGGUGGAAUUCCCGGUGUAGCGGUGGAAUGCGUAGAGAUCGGGAAGAACAUCAGUGGCGAAGGCGGCCUGCUGGCUGUUGCUGACGCUGAGGCGCGACAGCGUGGGGAGCAAACAGG
This 252-nucleotide ribosomal RNA is filed under the name uncultured bacterium. Its description in RNAcentral is "partial 16S ribosomal RNA". It matches the Rfam family "Bacterial small subunit ribosomal RNA", at positions 524 to 776 of the family's 1533-position model. The record is from RNAcentral.